CGAUAACGGCGUCGAGCGGCGGACGGGUGAGUAAUGCCUAGGAAAUUGCCCUGAUGUGGGGGAUAACCAUUGGAAACGAUGGCUAAUACCGCAUAAUGCCUACGGGCCAAAGAGGGGGACCUUCGGGCCUCUCGCGUCAGGAUAUGCCUAGGUGGGAUUAGCUAGUUGGUGAGGUAAUGGCUCACCAAGGCGACGAUCCCUAGCUGGUCUGAGAGGAUGAUCAGCCACACUGGAACUGAGACACGGUCCAGACUCCUACGGGAGGCAGCAGUGGGGAAUAUUGCACAAUGGGCGCAAGCCUGAUGCAGCCAUGCCGCGUGUGUGAAGAAGGCCUUCGGGUUGUAAAGCACUUUCAGUCGUGAGGAAGGUAGUGUAGUUAAUAGCUGCAUUAUUUGACGUUAGCGACAGAAGAAGCACCGGCUAACUCCGUGCCAGCAGCCGCGGUAAUACGGAGGGUGCGAGCGUUAAUCGGAAUUACUGGGCGUAAAGCGCAUGCAGGUGGUUUGUUAAGUCAGAUGUGAAAGCCCGGGGCUCAACCUCGGAAUAGCAUUUGAAACUGGCAGACUAGAGUACUGUAGAGGGGGGUAGAAUUUCAGGUGUAGCGGUGAAAUGCGUAGAGAUCUGAAGGAAUACCGGUGGCGAAGGCGGCCCCCUGGACAGAUACUGACACUCAGAUGCGAAAGCGUGGGGAGCAAACAGGAUUAGAUACCCUGGUAGUCCACGCCGUAAACGAUGUCUACUUGGAGGUUGUGGCCUUGAGCCGUGGCUUUCGGAGCUAACGCGUUAAGUAGACCGCCUGGGGAGUACGGUCGCAAGAUUAAAACUCAAAUGAAUUGACGGGGGCCCGCACAAGCGGUGGAGCAUGUGGUUUAAUUCGAUGCAACGCGAAGAACCUUACCUACUCUUGACAUCCAGAGAACUUUCCAGAGAUGGAUUGGUGCCUUCGGGAACUCUGAGACAGGUGCUGCAUGGCUGUCGUCAGCUCGUGUUGUGAAAUGUUGGGUUAAGUCCCGCAACGAGCGCAACCCUUAUCCUUGUUUGCCAGCGAGUAAUGUCGGGAACUCCAGGGAGACUGCCGGUGAUAAACCGGAGGAAGGUGGGGACGACGUCAAGUCAUCAUGGCCCUUACGAGUAGGGCUACACACGUGCUACAAUGGCGCAUACAGAGGGCAGCAAGCUAGCGAUAGUGAGCGAAUCCCAAAAAGUGCGUCGUAGUCCGGAUUGGAGUCUGCAACUCGACUCCAUGAAGUCGGAAUCGCUAGUAAUCGUGGAUCAGAAUGCCACGGUGAAUACGUUCCCGGGCCUUGUACACACCGCCCGUCACACCAUGGGAGUGGGCUGCAAAAGAAGUAGGUAGUUAA
Molecule: ribosomal RNA, 1361 nt
Filed under: Vibrio owensii
Lineage: Bacteria; Pseudomonadati; Pseudomonadota; Gammaproteobacteria; Vibrionales; Vibrionaceae
Description: bacterial SSU rRNA
Rfam family: Bacterial small subunit ribosomal RNA
Source: RNAcentral